Molecule: ribosomal RNA, 311 nt
Filed under: uncultured eukaryote
Lineage: Eukaryota
Description: partial 18S ribosomal RNA
Rfam family: Eukaryotic small subunit ribosomal RNA
Source: RNAcentral
CCCUUAGAUAACCUGGGCUGCACGCGCGCUACAAUGGUAGGGUAAGCGAGUAUAUCCUGUUUCGCAAGAAAUGGGUAAUCUUAGAAUCCCUACCGUGAUCGGAAUCGAUGCUUGUAAUUAUUCAUCGUGAACGAGGUAUUCCUAGUAAGCACGGGUCAUCAACUCGUGCUGAUUACGUCCCUGCCCUUUGUACACACCGCCCGUCGCUGCCUCCGAUUGAGUGUUGAGGUGAAUUAUCUGGACAAUUUGAGCUUUACUUAAACUGAAAAUUUUGUAAACCUUAACACUUAGAGGAAGCAGAAGUCGUAACA